This 489-nucleotide ribosomal RNA is filed under the name uncultured Atopobium sp. Its description in RNAcentral is "bacterial SSU rRNA". It matches the Rfam family "Bacterial small subunit ribosomal RNA", at positions 8 to 507 of the family's 1533-position model. The record is from RNAcentral. Lineage: Bacteria; Bacillati; Actinomycetota; Coriobacteriia; Coriobacteriales; Atopobiaceae.
AGAGUUUGAUCCUGGCUCAGGAUGAACGCUGGCGGCGCGCCUAACACAUGCAAGUCGAACGGUUAAAGCAUCUUCGGAUGUGUAUAAAGUGGCGAACGGCUGAGUAACACGUGGGCAACCUGCCCUUUGCACUGGGAUAGCCUCGGGAAACCGAGGUUAAUACCGGAUACUCCAUAUUUGUCGCAUGGCGAAUAUGGGAAAGCUCCGGCGGCAAAGGAUGGGCCCGCGGCCUGUUAGCUAGUUGGUGGGGUAGUGGCCUACCAAGGCAAUGAUGGGUAGCCGGGUUGAGAGACCGACCGGCCAGAUUGGGACUGAGACACGGCCCAGACUCCUACGGGAGGCAGCAGUGGGGAAUCUUGCACAAUGGGCGAAAGCCUGAUGCAGCGACGCCGCGUGCGGGAUGAAGGCCUUCGGGUUGUAAACCGCUUUCAGCAGGGACGAGGCCGCAAGGUGACGGUACCUGCAGAAGAAGCCCCGGCUAACUACGUG